UGAAGCCGGAAUUGCUAGUAAUGGCAGGUCAGCAUACUGCCGUGAAUACGUUCCCGGGCCUUGUACACACCGCCCGUCCACACCAUGAGAGUUGGGGAUACCCGAAGCCUGUGAGCUAACAUUAUGAGGCAGCAGUCGAAGGUAGAAUCAAUGAUUGGGGUGAAGUCGUAACAAGGUAAC
Molecule: ribosomal RNA, 180 nt
Filed under: uncultured bacterium
Lineage: Bacteria
Description: partial 16S ribosomal RNA
Rfam family: Bacterial small subunit ribosomal RNA
Source: RNAcentral